UGAAUGACUNUCGGCAACGGAUAUNUCGGCUCUUGCAUCGAUGAAGAACGUAGCGAAAUGCGAUACUUGGUGUGAAUUGCAGAAUCCCGUGAACCAUCGAGUCUUUGAACGCAAGUUGCGCCCGAGGCCACUAGGUUGAGGGCACGUCUGCCUGGGCGUCACAC
This 164-nucleotide ribosomal RNA is filed under the name Caltha leptosepala. Its description in RNAcentral is "5.8S ribosomal RNA". It matches the Rfam family "5.8S ribosomal RNA". From Rfam's summary of the family: 5.8S ribosomal RNA (5.8S rRNA) is a component of the large subunit of the eukaryotic ribosome. The record is from RNAcentral. Lineage: Eukaryota; Viridiplantae; Streptophyta; Magnoliopsida; Ranunculales; Ranunculaceae.